GCAUCAAUGGAAUGGACUUUGAGUUUAACUAGUGUUAAAAUCUAUGCAAAGUAAGUAUAGAAUCCUAUGCAACCUAAGCUUGAAUAAAACCUAUGCAAACUAAACAUAGAAUUAUAUACAAACUAAGGUGAACAAAACAUGGCAUAGAAAAAUUCAUAGAGUUCUGGCGGGCACCGAUAUAGGAGGAGGCUCCGUAACAGGCCCGCUGCUACCAGCAUGAAAUGUGCUAGCGUCACUUCUGGCUGCCACGCUGGAUGUGUCCUUGUCUAGAAUCUCAUCAACACCAUGGCACUAGUCAUGUUCAUUCUCCACUAGGCUGGUUGUCUUU
Molecule: long non-coding RNA, 328 nt
Filed under: Sorghum bicolor (sorghum)
Lineage: Eukaryota; Viridiplantae; Streptophyta; Magnoliopsida; Poales; Poaceae
Description: long non-coding RNA (SBIC_LNC004510)
Source: RNAcentral